UGGGGAAUCUUGCGCAAUGGGCGAAAGCCUGACGCAGCGACGCCGCGUGCGGGAUGACGGCCUUCGGGUUGUAAACCGCUUUCAGCAGGGACGAGGCCGCAAGGUGACGGUACCUGCAGAAGAAGCCCCGGCUAACUACGUGCCAGCAGCCGCGGUAAUACGUAGGGGGCGAGCGUUAUCCGGAUUCAUUGGGCGUAAAGCGCGCGUAGGCGGCCAGUUAGGUCGGGAGUCAAAUUUCGGGGCUCAACCCCGUCUCGCUCCCGAUACCGGCUGGCUUGAGUGUGGUAGGGGAAGGCGGAAUUCCCGGUGUAGCGGUGGAAUGCGCAGAUAUCGGGAAGAACACCGGUGGCGAAGGCGGCCUUCUGGGCCAUCACUGACGCUGAGGCGCGAAAGCUAGGGGAGCAAACA
This 408-nucleotide ribosomal RNA is filed under the name uncultured Coriobacteriaceae bacterium. RNAcentral's name for it is "bacterial SSU rRNA". It matches the Rfam family "Bacterial small subunit ribosomal RNA", at positions 355 to 774 of the family's 1533-position model. The record is from RNAcentral. Lineage: Bacteria; Bacillati; Actinomycetota; Coriobacteriia; Coriobacteriales; Coriobacteriaceae.